UAAGGUUAUUCCUUCUUUUGACAGACGGAGACGGACACGAGGGAGGCGAGGGAAUUGGGUAGCAGAGGUGGGGGAAUUCACCUUUCUGUUAGCUGUUCAUGGGAAUUGAUGCAGUUAUACUGUGCUGUUGGGUUUUCCAAAGAAGCCUAAAGGAGUGAGAGGCCCAAUGAAUGUAGGUUGGAGUUAGGUGCUCAAAUCCCUUAGACACCUUUGAAAAUCCAUCUGCAAGUCUGAUCAACUCUUAAGAUGCAACAUUUUUGUUAGCGAGAGCUUGGAGAAGACAAAACCCCCAAAGCCCUCAUCAAUCAUCCCCCC
Long non-coding RNA from Mauremys mutica (yellowpond turtle), 315 nucleotides. RefSeq lists it as uncharacterized. Lineage: Eukaryota; Metazoa; Chordata; Testudines; Geoemydidae. The transcript is spliced from 3 exons. The record is from RefSeq and is a predicted model, not a curated record.